RNAcentral lists this small RNA (27 nucleotides) under Bombyx mori (domestic silkworm). Its description in RNAcentral is "ovarian small RNA-14061". Lineage: Eukaryota; Metazoa; Arthropoda; Insecta; Lepidoptera; Bombycidae. The record is from RNAcentral.
CCUGAUGGUAAGGUCCUGCCGCGGGAG